CCGAUUAGCUAGUUGGUGAGGCAAUGGCUCACCAAGGCGACGAUCGGUAGCUGGUCUGAGAGGACGAUCAGCCACACUGGAACUGAGACACGGUCCAGACUCCUACGGGAGGCAGCAGUGGGGAAUUUUGGACAAUGGGGGAAACCCUGAUCCAGUCAUGCCGCGUGGGUGAAGAAGGCCUUCGGGUUGUAAAGCCCUUUCGGUGGGAAAGAAACGGUGCGCGCUAAUACCACGCACUACUGACGGUACCCACAGAAGAAGCACCGGCUAACUACGUGCCAGCAGCCGCGGUAAUACGUAGGGUGCAGGCGUUAAUCGGAAUUACUGGGCGUAAAGCGUGCGCAGGCGGUUUGCUAAGACAGGUGUGAAAUCCCCGGGCUUAACCUGGGAACUGCGCUUGUAACUAGCAGGCUAGAGUGUGGCAGAGGGGGGUGGAAUUCCACGUGUAGCAGUGAAAUGCGUAGAGAUGUGGAGGAACACCGAUGGCGAAGGCAGCCCCCCUGGGCUAACACUGACGCUCAUGCACGAAAGCGUGGGGAGCAAACAGGAUUAGAUACCCUGGUAGUCCACGCCGUAAACGAUGAUAACUAGCUGUCGGGGCUCUUAGAGCUUCGGUGGCGCAGCUAACGCAUUAAGUUAUCCGCCUGGGGAGUACGGCC
RNAcentral lists this ribosomal RNA (659 nucleotides) under uncultured bacterium. RNAcentral's name for it is "bacterial SSU rRNA". It matches the Rfam family "Bacterial small subunit ribosomal RNA", at positions 237 to 887 of the family's 1533-position model. The record is from RNAcentral.